Molecule: ribosomal RNA, 433 nt
Filed under: uncultured bacterium
Lineage: Bacteria
Description: partial 16S ribosomal RNA
Rfam family: Bacterial small subunit ribosomal RNA
Source: RNAcentral
AACGAACGCUGGCGGCAUUCCUAACACAUGCAAGUCGAACGAGACCUACGGGUCUAGUGGCGCUCGGGUGCGUAACGCGUCGGAACCUGCCCCCAGGUUCGGAAUAACUCCCCGUUAGGGGUCCCAAUUCUGGAUAACUUCUCCGCACCAAAGAUUUAUCGCCCGUGGAUGGUCCCGCGUGGGGUUAGCUAGUUGGUAGGGUAAAAGCCUACGAAGGCCACGAUCCAUAGCUGGUCUGUGAGGCUGGGCAGCCACACUGGGAGUGAGACACGGCCCAGACGCCUACGGGAGGCGGAAGUGGGGAAUAUUGGACGAUGGGGGAAAGCCUGACCCAGCAAUGCCGCGUGAGUGAUGAAGGGCGUAGGGUUGUAAAGCUCUUUUACCCGGGAUGAGAAUGACAGGACCGGAAGAGUAAGCUCCGGCUAACCCCGUG